This 241-nucleotide ribosomal RNA is filed under the name uncultured Bacillota bacterium. RNAcentral describes it as "uncultured Firmicutes bacterium partial 16S ribosomal RNA". It matches the Rfam family "Bacterial small subunit ribosomal RNA", at positions 796 to 1041 of the family's 1533-position model. The record is from RNAcentral. Lineage: Bacteria; Bacillati; Bacillota.
CACGCCGUAAACGUUGAGAACUAAGUGUUGGGGAGACCCAGUGCUGAAGCUAACGCAUUAAGUUCUCCGCCUGAGGAGUACGCACGCAAGUGUAAAACUUAAAGGAAUUGACGGGGACCCGCACAAGCAGCGGAGCAUGUGGUUUAAUUCGAAGCAACGCGAAGAACCUUACCAGGGCUUGACAUACUUUUGCAGGGUCUAGAGAUAGACCUGUUCUCUUUUGAGACGAAAGUACAGGUGG